RNAcentral lists this ribosomal RNA (261 nucleotides) under uncultured bacterium. RNAcentral's name for it is "partial 16S ribosomal RNA". It matches the Rfam family "Bacterial small subunit ribosomal RNA", at positions 524 to 776 of the family's 1533-position model. The record is from RNAcentral.
GACGAAGGGAGCGAGCGUUAUCCGUAAUGACUGGGCGUAAAGCGUUCGUAGAUGGUUAAAAAAGUCUUGAAAGCAAAAGCCAUACUUGUAAAAAGUUGAAAGCUUUUCAAAACGAAAUUUAACUAGAGGAAAAAAAUAGGUAAGUUGGAUUUUGCAAGGAGGGAUGGUAUCCAGAGAUAUGCAAAGGAAGAUCAAUUGGCAAUGGCGAUUUACUGGUUUUUUUACUAACAUUGAGGAACGAAAGUGUGGGGAGCAAACAGG